Molecule: ribosomal RNA, 459 nt
Filed under: uncultured bacterium
Lineage: Bacteria
Description: partial 16S ribosomal RNA
Rfam family: Bacterial small subunit ribosomal RNA
Source: RNAcentral
CCUACGGGUGGCAGCAGUGAGGAAUAUUGGUCAAUGGGCGCGAGCCUGAACCAGCCAAGUCGCGUGAGGGAAGACGGUCCUAUGGAUUGUAAACCUCUUUUGUCGGGGAGCAAAAGACGCCACGCGUGGCGUUCCGAGAGUACCCGAAGAAAAAGCAUCGGCUAACUCCGUGCCAGCGGCGGCGGUAAUACGGAGGAUGCGAGCGUUAUCAGGAUUCAUUGGGUUCACAGGGUGCGCAGUGGGAAGGUCAAGGCGGUGGUAAAAUGGAGAGGCUCAACAGCUGCGAGCCGUGGAACCUGGUGUUCUGGAGUGAGUUAGAGGUAGGUGGAAUGCGUGGUGUAGCGGUGAAAUGCAUAGAUAUCACGAAGAACUCCGAUUGCGAAGGCAGCAUACCGGCGCUCAACUGACGCUCAUGCACGAAAGUGUGGGUAUCGAACAGGAUUAGAUACCCGAGUAGUC